CGGCGUGCCUAAUACAUGCAAGUCGAACGCACUGACGUCGACAGAAGGUGCUUGCACUGGAAGUUGAUUGACGUGAGUGGCGGACGGGUGAGUAACACGUGGGUAACCUGCCCUUAAGCGGGGGAUAACAUUUGGAAACAGAUGCUAAUACCGCAUAAAAGUUGAGAUCACAUGGUCUUAAUUUGAAAGACGGCCUUUGGCUGUCACUUAAGGAUGGACCCGCGGCGUAUUAGCUAGUUGGUAAGAUAAUAGCCCACCAAGGCGAUGAUACGUAGCCGACCUGAGAGGGUAAUCGGCCACAUUGGGACUGAGACACGGCCCAAACUCCUACGGGAGGCAGCAGUAGGGAAUCUUCCACAAUGGACGAAAGUCUGAUGGAGCAACGCCGCGUGAGUGAAGAAGGUUUUCGGAUCGUAAAACUCUGUUGUUGGAGAAGAACAGGGACUAGAGUAACUGUUAGUCCUUUGACGGUAUCCAACCAGAAAGCCACGGCUAACUACGUGCCAGCAGCCGCGGUAAUACGUAGGUGGCAAGCGUUGUCCGGAUUUAUUGGGCGUAAAGCGAGCGCAGGCGGUUUCUUAAGUCUGAUGUGAAAGCCUUCGGCUUAACCGAAGAAGUGCAUCAGAUACUGGGAAACUUGAGUGCAGAAGAGGAAAGUGGAACUCCAUGUGUAGCGGUGAAAUGCGUAGAUAUAUGGAAGAACACCAGUGGCGAAGGCGGCUUUCUGGUCUGUAACUGACGCUGAGGCUCGAAAGUAUGGGGAGCGAACAGGAUUAGAUACCCUGGUAGUCCAUACCGUAAACGAUGAAUGCUAAGUGUUGGAGGGUUUCCGCCCUUCAGUGCUGCAGCUAACGCAUUAAGCAUUCCGCCUGGGGAGUACGACCGCAAGGUUGAAACUCAAAGGAAUUGACGGGGGCCCGCACAAGCGGUGGAGCAUGUGGUUUAAUUCGAAGCUACGCGAAGAACCUUACCAGGUCUUGACAUCUAGCGCCAAUCCUAGAGAUAGGACGUUCCCUUCGGGGACGCUAAGACAGGUGGUGCAUGGUUGUCGUCAGCUCGUGUCGUGAGAUGUUGGGUUAAGUCCCGCAACGAGCGCAACCCUUAUGAUUAGUUGCCAGCAUUUAGUUGGGCACUCUAAUCAGACUGCCGGUGACAAACCGGAGGAAGGUGGGGA
Molecule: ribosomal RNA, 1174 nt
Filed under: uncultured bacterium
Lineage: Bacteria
Description: bacterial SSU rRNA
Rfam family: Bacterial small subunit ribosomal RNA
Source: RNAcentral